This 459-nucleotide ribosomal RNA is filed under the name uncultured bacterium. RNAcentral describes it as "partial 16S ribosomal RNA". It matches the Rfam family "Bacterial small subunit ribosomal RNA", at positions 338 to 795 of the family's 1533-position model. The record is from RNAcentral.
CCUACGGGCGGCUGCAGUGAGGAAUAUUGGUCAAUGGUCGGGAGACUGAACCAGCCAAGCCGCGUGAGGGAUGAAGGUACAGAGUAUCGUAAACCUCUUUUGUCAGGGAACAAAGGCGGGGACGUGUCCCCGGAUGAGUGUACCUGAAGAAAAAGCAUCGGCUAACUCCGUGCCAGCAGCCGCGGUAAGACGGAGGAUGCGAGCGUUAUCCGGAUGUAGUGGGGUUAAAGGGUGCGCAGGCGGGCUGUUAAGUCAGCGGUCAAAGCCCGGGGCUCACCCCCGGCCCGCCGUUGAAACUGGCAGUCUCGCGUUGGCGAGAAGUAUGCGGACUGCGCGGUGUAGCGGUGAAAUGCAUAGAUCUCGCGCAGAACUCCGAUUGCGACGGCAGCAUGCCGGCUCCACACUGACGCUGAGGCACGAAAGCGUGGGUAUCGAACAGGAUUAGAUACCCCGGUAGUC